AUGAACAAGUCUUCAUCCGAAUGUAGGUCCAAGAGAUAAGAUAGAGGAUACAGAGAGUUGAAGAUUAAUCCUUAUUCUCUCAAUGGGCUAUAGGGAAAAAAAAAAAAAAAACUGACCAAUCUGGGGAACUGAAUUCUAAUUCCCACCCUAUAGCUUGACUUGACUGAAGUCUUGAAAGCAAGUGGCUGACACCUCUGCAUCCUAGAUGCUUCGUACUCAUGGUGACAAGGCCAAAUAUUUGUUUGGGGGAGGAAAAACAGUCUGUCAAAACUCUGUGGGAAAAUUCACCCCAUCUUAUUUAACUUUCGCAACCUACUGUAUAUAUUUGAAGACAAUCCGCAUAAAACUGUGUCUGAGCUGCCCCUAGGGUUUCUGUAGCAGAAUGGAGUCAUGGGUAAGACUCUUCUAAAAAUACCUAUGUUGGGAAUUCCCAAUGUGGCACAGGGGAAAUGAAUCCAACUAGUAUCCAUGAGGAUGUGGGUUCAACCCCUGGCCUUGCUCAGUGGGUGGGGGAUCUGGUGUUGCCAUGAGCUCCACAACGGGAACUCCCAUUCCUUCUUUUCAAUCUUUGUUGUCACCCCUUCCUUGUCCAAGGUUCCUACUGUGUGUCUUCCCUCCUUCCCUGAAGAAUACAUCUUCAGCUUUCUAAUCAUCUCUCUGAAUUCUAUUUCAGGUUUCAGACGUCAUGAUUCUCAUAUUCUAAGUAUCUAUUCCUGCUGUUCCAUUCAAGCCACAGGAUAUUUCAAGCCGUUUAUCACAAGAUAAAAAGGCUGAUGCCUAAAAAUAAAAAAUAACUAAAACUAAAUUCAUUACCUUUCCACAAAGCAAAUUUCCUUCCCCCCUAAGCUGCCUGCAGUCGCCAUUGCUAUUUUAAGCUGACCAAUUUAGAAUGGUCAUUAUCUUUUACUCCCUCCUACUGUAAUCCCUGUAUUUAAUUGGUUACCAAGUCCAAACUUCCUGGUUUGCAGUGCGUCACAUUUGUUCCUUUACUUUCUAUCUCCACCAUUCUCACUGGAGUCCAGCCCUGGCUGCUUUACACCCUUCAUGAUCUGCUAUUCUUCUCCAAGACCAGUCCCUACUGCCAUAUUCAAUCCCAGACUCCUCCACCCUGCUUCUCAGAAUCUCUACAAUCCUUUUUUUUUAAUAAAGCAAUAGAAAUGAUUUGAUCUCAUUUAUUUAGAGAUAUAUGUCCAAGUGCAUGUUUGUUUUUGAAAUAAAAAAAAAAAUAGGAGUUCCUGUUGUGGCGCACUGGAAACUUGAAUCCGACUAGGAACCAUGAGGUUGAGGGUUUGAUCCCUGGCCUUGCUCAGUGCGUUAAGGAUCCAG
Molecule: long non-coding RNA, 1326 nt
Filed under: Sus scrofa (pig)
Lineage: Eukaryota; Metazoa; Chordata; Mammalia; Artiodactyla; Suidae
Description: lncRNA (ENSSSCG00015032736.1)
Source: RNAcentral